GAAGCAACGUUCUCCGUUAGAGGGGCCCAUAUAUCGUUUGGAACCGACGGCCAUUUUGUGGUUAUCCAAGAGCCCGGUCAGUCGACGCCGGUGUCGUUAUUUCUCCGUGACAGCGGCUCACUGUGUGCGAAUAACUACAUACCCUGAUAACGUGAGAAGAGGCGCAAAGCUCGAGAUAUAAUUUUGUUGACGGUAAAAUGGCGGAUCUACAGGGAACACCGGUUAGCCAGGACGCCCUAUCCGUUGGACAACUGGAGCUGGGGAAUAAUCCAAACGCACUGGCGUUACGCAGGCCUUUCGAUCCAGUUGCACAUGAUCUUGAUGCCACUUUCCGUCUGACGCGUUUUGCUGAUUUAAAAGGAUGAGGGUGUAAAGUCCCUCAGGAGGUACUUGGUAAACUCCUUGAGGGACUACAAGCUGAUGAUGGUAGUGCACAGGAUCAUGAGCAUGCACACUUCAUGCACAUGGCCAUUCCCAGAAUUGGGAUUGGUAUGGACUCUUCAGUAACGCCACUCCGACAUGGUGGCCUUAGCUUGGUGCAGACAACAGACUUCUUUUAUCCUCUAGUCGAUGAUCCUUACAUGAU
Long non-coding RNA from Diachasma alloeum, 586 nucleotides. RefSeq lists it as uncharacterized. The record is from RefSeq and is a predicted model, not a curated record. NCBI's taxonomy places the organism in Eukaryota, Metazoa, Arthropoda, Insecta, Hymenoptera, Braconidae. The transcript has 3 exons.